Molecule: ribosomal RNA, 460 nt
Filed under: uncultured bacterium
Lineage: Bacteria
Description: partial 16S ribosomal RNA
Rfam family: Bacterial small subunit ribosomal RNA
Source: RNAcentral
CCUACGGGAGGCAGCAGUGAGGAAUAUUGGUCAAUGGGCGGAAGCCUGAACCAGCCAAGUAGCGUGCAGGAUGACGGCCCUACGGGUUGUAAACUGCUUUUAUACGGGAAUAACGCGCCUUACGUGUAGGGCUUUGCAUGUACCGUAUGAAUAAGGACCGGCUAAUUCCGUUCCAGCAGCCGCGGUAAUCAGGAGGGUCCGGGCGUUAUCCGGAUUUCUUGGGUGUAAAGGGUGCGUAGGCCGCAUGUCAAGCGUGCUGUGAAAUGUCCGGGCUCAACCCGGGCCUUGCAGCGCGAACUGGCGUGCUUGAGUCCGCGGAAGGCAGGCGGAAUUCGUCGUGUAGCGGUGAAAUGCUUAGAUAUGACGAAGAACCCCGAGUGCGAAGGCAGCUUGCUGCAGCGGAACUGACGCUGAUGCUCGAAAGCGCGGGUAUCGAACAGGAUUAGAUACCCCAGUAGUC